CAGGGUAUAGCUAAAUAGGAUAGCAUUUCCUUUACACUGAAAAGUCAUUUGUGCAAAUCGAAUUACCCUGA
This 71-nucleotide transfer RNA is filed under the name Trichiurus lepturus (Atlantic cutlassfish). RNAcentral describes it as "tRNA-Val". It matches the Rfam family "tRNA". From Rfam's summary of the family: Transfer RNA (tRNA) molecules are approximately 80 nucleotides in length. Their secondary structure includes four short double-helical elements and three loops (D, anti-codon, and T loops). Further hydrogen bonds mediate the characteristic L-shaped molecular structure. tRNAs have two regions of fundamental functional importance: the anti-codon, which is responsible for specific mRNA codon recognition, and the 3' end, to which the tRNAs corresponding amino acid is attached (by aminoacyl-tRNA synthetases). tRNAs cope with the degeneracy of the genetic code in two manners: having more than one tRNA (with a specific anti-codon) for a particular amino acid; and 'wobble' base-pairing, i.e. permitting non-standard base-pairing at the 3rd anti-codon position. The record is from RNAcentral. Lineage: Eukaryota; Metazoa; Chordata; Actinopteri; Scombriformes; Trichiuridae.